GGGGCGGGGACGGGGACGCGGAGGAGGGGAGCAGGAGGAUUGAGGGGAGCCGGGCGCGGGGGGACGUCGGCGCGCAGGACGUUCACGCCCGCACCUUUCCGGCCUGUGGCGGUUCCAGCCCCAGACCGUUUGCAUCUGGAGGAUUUCUGGCCAUCCAAGAACAAACUUCCGAAUCUCCAAAUUUUCAAGCCUUGGAAAUGGGAAAACAAACCGAGAUCUCUCCUUCUCCAACCUUUGAAAGAACCGAAGUAACUCCCAACCCUCCCCACCUCCUGGGACCGGCCGGCCAGGAACAUUUAUAAGUAAUGACUGUGUCACCUAGGAACACAAAUUAGGCUCCUGUGCUUCCCCUGGGGACGAGCUAGACGGGGUUUCACCAUGUUGACCAGGCUGGUCUUGAACUCCUGACCUCAAGUAAUCCACCUGCCUUGGCCUCCCAAAAUGUGGGGAUUACAGGCGUGAGUCACUGCGCCCGGGCCCCUUGAGGAAAUUCUUAGAGUCCCGACUGGAAGUGGCUUUGACCUUCUGGUCCUCUUCCCUCAGCAACGUGGCCAUGCAUCCUGCAAGCCCUUCAAGCGCUUCAGAGCCAGAUUGGCCCUCUGAGGUCACAGCAUGCCAGCCACAGAGGAGAGUCUGGACUGGAAGGGACCCCACAGGCCACUGAGUCCAUCCCCCCGACCCAACCCCCCAAAGUUCCCCAGGCGGAGUCCCAGAAAUCCCGGUCUGCCUGCCUGGCCCCUCCACCCCACUGACCGAUGCUGGAGUUCCGGCUGCUCCUGGGCUUGGCACACAGCACGCUGGAGAAGAAGACUCGCAGCUGGCUGUAGAGGAGCGUCACAUCCCGGCCUCGGAAUAUCUGUAGGGUGGGAAGGCAAAGACAGCGGGUGAGGUUGGCCCUCAGCGAUCUUUCUCUACUCCACCAGGUUCCUUGAGACUUACCUUGGCCACAAAGCAGCCCCCUGGCUUCAGGACAUGUGUAGCAAUGUUCAGAGCCUGUGGGCAGGACAGACGGCUGAGGCUGAGGUGGAGACAGCCAGGAGGGGGCCAAAGUGGGUCAGGGGUGGCCAGGGUUACUCACAGCUAGGAGAAGCUGGGCCUGCAUAUACUCAUCAACAUCAUGGAGGCCGGUUACUGUGGCAAGAGGAACAGCGUUAGGGGGGCCUAUCCUGCUCUGUGCAUCUUCUUGUACCACACAGAUCAGACACUAAAAACAUUUUCCAGGCUCUCUUACUGCUAA
Non-coding RNA from Macaca mulatta (Rhesus monkey), 1237 nucleotides. NCBI's taxonomy places the organism in Eukaryota, Metazoa, Chordata, Mammalia, Primates, Cercopithecidae. The record is from RefSeq and is a predicted model, not a curated record.